Molecule: ribosomal RNA, 516 nt
Filed under: Staphylococcus aureus
Lineage: Bacteria; Bacillati; Bacillota; Bacilli; Caryophanales; Staphylococcaceae
Description: bacterial SSU rRNA
Rfam family: Bacterial small subunit ribosomal RNA
Source: RNAcentral
AAAAGUGAAAGACGGUCUUGCUGUCACUUAUAGAUGGAUCCGCGCUGCAUUAGCUAGUUGGUAAGGUAACGGCUUACCAAGGCAACGAUGCAUAGCCGACCUGAGAGGGUGAUCGGCCACACUGGAACUGAGACACGGUCCAGACUCCUACGGGAGGCAGCAGUAGGGAAUCUUCCGCAAUGGGCGAAAGCCUGACGGAGCAACGCCGCGUGAGUGAUGAAGGUCUUCGGAUCGUAAAACUCUGUUAUUAGGGAAGAACAUAUGUGUAAGUAACUGUGCACAUCUUGACGGUACCUAAUCAGAAAGCCACGGCUAACUACGUGCCAGCAGCCGCGGUAAUACGUAGGUGGCAAGCGUUAUCCGGAAUUAUUGGGCGUAAAGCGCGCGUAGGCGGUUUUUUAAGUCUGAUGUGAAAGCCCACGGCUCAACCGUGGAGGGUCAUUGGAAACUGGAAAACUUGAGUGCAGAAGAGGAAAGUGGAAUUCCAUGUGUAGCGGUGAAAUGCGCAGAGAUAUG